CUCCCGGCAACGGGAGCGGCAUGGCAAACCCCACCGGGAGCAAGACCAAAUAGGGACGGCGAGCCGCCUUUCUCCGCACGCGGGGGAAGCGGCAGGCGGGUUUUUGAGCCGCCGUCCGGGUCGGUCGCGGGAGGCGCCCGGUAACGGGCGUCCCAGAUGAAUGGCCAUCCAUCGCCCGGGUUCGCCCGGGCGGGGACAGAACCCGGCUUACAGGCCGUCUGACGCG
Molecule: RNase P RNA, 226 nt
Filed under: Alphaproteobacteria bacterium
Lineage: Bacteria; Pseudomonadati; Pseudomonadota; Alphaproteobacteria
Description: partial RNase P RNA component class A
Rfam family: Bacterial RNase P class A
About the family: Ribonuclease P (RNase P) is a ubiquitous endoribonuclease, found in archaea, bacteria and eukarya as well as chloroplasts and mitochondria.
Source: RNAcentral